AUGCCCAAGAGAAAGGCUGAAGGGGAUGCUAAAGGAGAUAAAGCCAAGGUAAGGGACGAACCACAGAGAAGAUCCACGAGGUUGUCUGCUAAACCUCCUCCUCCAAAGCCAGAGCGCAAGACUAAAAAGGUCCCUGCAAAGAGGGGAGAGAAGGUACCAAAAGGGAAAAAGGGGAAAGCUGAUGCUGGCAAGGAGGGGAAUAACCCUACAGAAAAUGGAGAUGCCAACAGACCAGGCACAGAAAGCUGAAGGUGCUGGAGAUGCCAGGGGA
This 271-nucleotide long non-coding RNA is filed under the name Homo sapiens (human). RNAcentral describes it as "non-protein coding lnc-HMGN3-5:1". Lineage: Eukaryota; Metazoa; Chordata; Mammalia; Primates; Hominidae. The record is from RNAcentral.